Molecule: long non-coding RNA, 1820 nt
Organism: Brassica rapa (field mustard)
Lineage: Eukaryota; Viridiplantae; Streptophyta; Magnoliopsida; Brassicales; Brassicaceae
Source: RefSeq, a predicted model, not a curated record
AGGCUACUGGGGUGAAAGACGGAGAGAUUGCAAAUCUAAAAGAUGAGGAUAAGGUUGAUCAUUUGAUGUUGGCUCACUGACUAACUAGAGACUAAGGAACUUGAAUCUCGGUGCAGCAUCCAUUCUUUGUUUUUAUCUAUUCCUGAGUUCUGUUAUUGUUGGGAAGUUUAUGUCCUUACCUUACAAAUGACCAUUGUUCCACCUGUAGAAAAAUCAGUUGGAGAAACAAAGAUUUUCUAAAGCUACAAUUUCAAAGCUCUUUGGCUAAUUUAUAAUGUUAAUUUGAGAAACAGGUCCAUAAAACGAGCACCUCAAACUGCACCGUCUGAUUUUAUUCUAGGGUGGGGAAGUAAUUGUAUUUAGUGACUUCUCUGCUGAGAAAUCAAAAUAUCAGAGGUAACAACAAUCAAUAUGACAAAUAUGAUUUAGAAAUUCUAUGUCAAGUCAAUCGUGUAAAACGCAAGCAUUAUGAUGACUUUAGCUGUUUAAAUUAAUUUGAAUGAAAUACAUAUACAUAAAAUAUGAACUUCUGUUAGAAUUGUGAGAAAGUUAAAGGAUAAAACUUAUUAAACCAAGCUUUGUUAUGUCUUUUAGUUUUUUUUUUUGCAGAUAUAUAUCUUCAUUGUGUUCAUGGUCAGCCACAAUCAAUAAAGUGAGAAAUAACAUUUUUACCGAAGGAGCCCAAAGUUACUCUCUUCUUUCAUUCUCUCUUACAGGGUUACAGUAUUUAGCGGCAAUAAACCAACCCUGUAAUAAAUCAGGUUUAUUACGAGUAGUUGUUGAUCUCUCUCCAAGUUAUGAGCUUCCUGCUGGUUUUGAGGUAUGUCGUAAUCACAUUUCAGGUUGAGCCCAAAGUUGAAGCUGAAUCAUGGUUUGUAAUGUCUGGUUUUAAUGAAAACUUCGUUGUAUUGGGAGAAUGGUUAGGCGGUAGUCCUAAACAGAAGAAGAGAUCGAAAGCAAAAUUUGGUAGGAGAUUUCUUUGAAGAAGGCGUUAAGAUUAAGAAUUUUCUCCAAAUCAGCUUUCUACAGAGAUUGAGUUAUUCACGAGGUGGUCUUAGUGAAAGGAUUGAUGUGAGGGCAUGUUUCAACCGAGUAUAAACACUGAGAGUAUUCUUUGGUUUCUAUGUUUAACCAUCUCUUCUCCUGCUCAUGCGUAAAUCCGAUUUAUAUCAUUUUUGGAAUUCCAUACAUCUAACCGAGUUUGGUAUACAAUGUGGAAUUUCACAAAGAUUGUAAAAAAGGUGGGUGUGGGCCGUGUGGCAACUUGGAAUCACCACUUGAUUUCGACCAGCAAUAUGUAAUCCAAACAAUUAAUUAUUACGAACUGAAAAUUUAUGUUUAAUAUUUUAAUUUACGUUUUAAUUAGGUUGAUCUUACAACAACAUUCAUAUAAAUAAAAAACAUUUCCAUUUAUACGAAUUAUAAUAACAAACAUGAAUGACAUACCAAACAAAAUAACAAACAUGAAUGCUUUUUUUUUGGUAGAGCAUGACUGGUAUUAAAUAAACUAAUACGGCUCUGAUGUCCAACGCCAAAUAAAGCAUGAAUUAAGGACAAUAUAUUACAAGAUGUAUUAUGUGGUCAAUGACGGUUCUCACGCUCAAUAUUCUAACAUCCUACAUAACUAACUAAACAUGGCAUAGAAAUAAUGGUUCACAAAUGAUAUAACCAACCCCCGUUGAAGUUAAAAGCAAAUAUCAAUCCAAACAUUUAUAUUUACAAAUGUUCAUUGAAAUAUAAGAUGUUUCUAUAUUAUUUUUAAUUUACUGCCCCGCCCAUAGGGCGGGUUUACCCUAGUUAAUAAAAAAAUUCCAAUACAU